Molecule: ribosomal RNA, 1498 nt
Filed under: Limosilactobacillus fermentum
Lineage: Bacteria; Bacillati; Bacillota; Bacilli; Lactobacillales; Lactobacillaceae
Also listed under: 1 other name
Description: bacterial SSU rRNA
Rfam family: Bacterial small subunit ribosomal RNA
Source: RNAcentral
GAUGAACGCCGGCGGUGUGCCUAAUACAUGCAAGUCGAACGCGUUGGCCCAAUUGAUUGACGGUGCUUGCACCUGAUUGAUUUUGGUCGCCAACGAGUGGCGGACGGGUGAGUAACACGUAGGUAACCUGCCCAGAAGCGGGGGACAACAUUUGGAAACAGAUGCUAAUACCGCAUAACAGCGUUGUUCGCAUGAACAACGCUUAAAAGAUGGCUUCUCGCUAUCACUUCUGGAUGGACCUGCGGUGCAUUAGCUUGUUGGUGGGGUAACGGCCUACCAAGGCGAUGAUGCAUAGCCGAGUUGAGAGACUGAUCGGCCACAAUGGGACUGAGACACGGCCCAUACUCCUACGGGAGGCAGCAGUAGGGAAUCUUCCACAAUGGGCGCAAGCCUGAUGGAGCAACACCGCGUGAGUGAAGAAGGGUUUCGGCUCGUAAAGCUCUGUUGUUAAAGAAGAACACGUAUGAGAGUAACUGUUCAUACGUUGACGGUAUUUAACCAGAAAGUCACGGCUAACUACGUGCCAGCAGCCGCGGUAAUACGUAGGUGGCAAGCGUUAUCCGGAUUUAUUGGGCGUAAAGAGAGUGCAGGCGGUUUUCUAAGUCUGAUGUGAAAGCCUUCGGCUUAACCGGAGAAGUGCAUCGGAAACUGGAUAACUUGAGUGCAGAAGAGGGUAGUGGAACUCCAUGUGUAGCGGUGGAAUGCGUAGAUAUAUGGAAGAACACCAGUGGCGAAGGCGGCUACCUGGUCUGCAACUGACGCUGAGACUCGAAAGCAUGGGUAGCGAACAGGAUUAGAUACCCUGGUAGUCCAUGCCGUAAACGAUGAGUGCUAGGUGUUGGAGGGUUUCCGCCCUUCAGUGCCGGAGCUAACGCAUUAAGCACUCCGCCUGGGGAGUACGACCGCAAGGUUGAAACUCAAAGGAAUUGACGGGGGCCCGCACAAGCGGUGGAGCAUGUGGUUUAAUUCGAAGCUACGCGAAGAACCUUACCAGGUCUUGACAUCUUGCGCCAACCCUAGAGAUAGGGCGUUUCCUUCGGGAACGCAAUGACAGGUGGUGCAUGGUCGUCGUCAGCUCGUGUCGUGAGAUGUUGGGUUAAGUCCCGCAACGAGCGCAACCCUUGUUACUAGUUGCCAGCAUUAAGUUGGGCACUCUAGUGAGACUGCCGGUGACAAACCGGAGGAAGGUGGGGACGACGUCAGAUCAUCAUGCCCCUUAUGACCUGGGCUACACACGUGCUACAAUGGACGGUACAACGAGUCGCGAACUCGCGAGGGCAAGCAAAUCUCUUAAAACCGUUCUCAGUUCGGACUGCAGGCUGCAACUCGCCUGCACGAAGUCGGAAUCGCUAGUAAUCGCGGAUCAGCAUGCCGCGGUGAAUACGUUCCCGGGCCUUGUACACACCGCCCGUCACACCAUGAGAGUUUGUAACACCCAAAGUCGGUGGGGUAACCUUUUAGGAGCCAGCCGCCUAAGGUGGGACAGAUGAUUAGGGUG